UAAGCUAGUAAGAUCCCUGAAAGAUGAUCAGGUUGAUAGGUUCGAGGUGGAAGCGUGGUGACACGUGGAGCUGACGAAUACUAAUAGAUCGAGGACUUAACCAA
Molecule: ribosomal RNA, 104 nt
Filed under: Bacillus cytotoxicus
Lineage: Bacteria; Bacillati; Bacillota; Bacilli; Caryophanales; Bacillaceae
Description: partial 23S ribosomal RNA
Rfam family: Bacterial large subunit ribosomal RNA
Source: RNAcentral